GGAAUUUUCCGCAAUGGGCGAAAGCCUGACGGAGCAAUACCGCGUGAGGGACGACGGCCUGUGGGUUGUAAACCUCUUUUCUCAAGGAAGAAGCUCUGACGGUACUUGAGGAAUAAGCAUCGGCUAACUCUGUGCCAGCAGCCGCGGUAAUACAGAGGAUGCAAGCGUUAUCCGGAAUCACUGGGCAUAAAGCGUCUGUAGGUGGUUUAGUAAGUCUGCUGUUAAAGACUGGGGCUCAACCCCAGAAAAGCAGUGGAAACUGCUAGACUUGAGUGUGGUAGAGGUAGAGGGAAUUCCUAGUGUAGCGGUGAAAUGCGUAGAUAUUAGGAAGAACACCAAUGGCGAAGGCACUCUACUGGGCCAUAACUGACACUGAGAGACGACAGCUAGGGGAGCAAAUGGGAUUAGAUACCCCAGUAGUC
This 422-nucleotide ribosomal RNA is filed under the name uncultured eukaryotic phytoplankton. Its description in RNAcentral is "bacterial SSU rRNA". It matches the Rfam family "Bacterial small subunit ribosomal RNA", at positions 358 to 795 of the family's 1533-position model. The record is from RNAcentral.